UCACCAUGUAAUAAAGACGGUUUACUUUGAUGCUUUUCUAAUUCCGCCACAAUUUGACGUCGC
Molecule: small RNA, 63 nt
Filed under: Staphylococcus aureus
Lineage: Bacteria; Bacillati; Bacillota; Bacilli; Caryophanales; Staphylococcaceae
Description: HMPRFS0000_2898
Source: RNAcentral